ACAAGAAGAACACAACAAUUUUAUUAUAAAUUGUUAUUCUUUACUUUCUCUUUGAAACAAGAUUACAAGUGUCACAGAAUAGCAAAUAACUUCUCUCACCCUUAUUAGGAUUUGCGUUAUGCAAUUAUGAGAGACUAGUAUGCUAUUUAUAAGAAAGCUAAUAUACUAAAUUAAUGAGUUUUUACACCAUGCCAAUUACACAAGCUAAUUUAAAACAAAGCAAACUUAAACAACUGGACAUAACAAACAUACCCAAUUCGACAUUCUAACAAUCCUAACAUACUUCGACUACAUCAUGUGAACAGACUUUGACGACAUGCUAAUGAUUUUGUCGAAUUGUCGAACCAAGAAACUAUCCUUCGACCAAAUUAAAAUUCGAUCUAAUAUCUCAAUAUUUUUGUCACAACAAUUCAUCCAUGAAGUCAAUAAAUUAGAGAAAUCAAAACCUGAGGAAAGGCAAAUUUCACUUUGGGAGGCUGCAAAUUAAAACAUAGAAAGAGAGGGCUUUCUAAGAGAGAAAAAUCAAAAAUCAAAAAUCAAAACUUAGAAUACAAAAAUAGAGAAAGUGGGUAUUUCAGAGUCUUCACUAGAAAAACUAGCCUCCAUCAACUUUCAUAAACAACCACAAAACCCCACAUCAACAAUUUUCAUUAAAAAUCAAAAUAGAGAAAACAUAACAAUGUAGGAAUUCAUAUAUAUAUUUAUAUAAUAAUAUAUAUAUUAUAUAUUAUAUAUAUAUAUUAUAUAUAUAAUAUAUUAUAUAUAUAUAUAUAUAUAUAUAUAUAUAUAUAUAUAUAUAAUAUAUAUAUUAUAGUAUAUAACUGACUUUUAAUCAUUAACUACAGAAAUAAAAUAAAAAAUGAAACACAUUUGCAUGUUUUAUAAAGUAAUUACAUUGAGAUUUGUUAGGUUUAUAAUUUUGUACAGAAAACAUAAUGAUGAUUUUAUAUAUUGUACUUCCUCUAGUCUGCAAUCAAGGAAACAUCGAGUUAAAGAUUUUUUUAAAUACAAUGUUUGUUUAUGCUUAUAUAAAAAAGUGUUCAUUAUUAGAAACACUUAUACGAAACGGAUGUAAGAUAUAGAUUAAAUUUGAACCAUUUAUCUUGCAAACAUAUAAAAUCAUCAUUCAAUUGUUUAUACAAAAUCAUAAACCUGAUAAAUCUCAAUAUAAAUACUUCAUAGAACAUGCAGAAAUGAUCUAAUUGGAAUUUUAUUUGGCCUUUCUAAUAACAAAAAGGCAACAACAGAGAUAUAUAUAUUUUAAGGAGAUAACUAUUGCAACAAAGACCAAAACUCUUUCUAACUGAAUCGCCUUGCCACAACCUCCUACCUAACCAAGCUUCCACUUUCCUUCGCACAAUUUUAGAGAACUCAUCGAAAAUUAGCGGAUGGUCUAAAAUUUCUACCUCAUUAGAACAAAAAACACAACAAAGAUUCUUAAAAUCAGUUAUAAUACCUCUUUUAUUUAAUUGAUCCUUCGUUUAAAAAAAGUUCUCCACUCAAAAGCUUUGAUCAGGAACAGAAUCUUCAACCUCCACGAUAUAUUGCAAGCCGAAUACAAUCCCUCUGCCGAAUCGUCUUUCUCAAAACAGACUGUCAUAGCCUCAUAUGCCGACUUUGUAAAUUAAGGGUUAAAGUAGUUGAUGAAUAUGAAAUGAUAUGAAUUUAAA
Molecule: long non-coding RNA, 1670 nt
Filed under: Lathyrus oleraceus (garden pea)
Lineage: Eukaryota; Viridiplantae; Streptophyta; Magnoliopsida; Fabales; Fabaceae
Description: Pisum sativum (pea) long non-coding RNA (PSAT_LNC000851)
Source: RNAcentral